UUUCAAUGUGCUGGUGUGCAGAUUACAGAAAGAUUGGGAAGCUGAGAGGUUUAUUAUUUACAGAAGGUGGACAGUAGAGUCUAUUGCUCUAGGAAAACAUACAGGUCACAGCAGCAGCCUAUCCAACAUUAAUGAAUCAUGGCAAUGGCAGUGACCUUGAGAAGUCAUCCAUCUCAUGCACCCUGUGUUUCUGCACCGGUUUGUGUCUCACAAACAUCCCUGGGCAGAACGAACCUGUCUGACAUGUGCUGGGUGAGAUCCUGGGAAGGAGGGCCUACAGUCUCCCCUCGUCCUCCUGGCCAGUGAUCAUCUGGUGAUCCUGAGUGGUCUUAGCAUGCAUCACAAUCACACUGGGCUCAUUUUAUUCAUUGCUGCCUGAUUGUUGGAAUACUUUCAGAGUUUAAAUUUUUCUGUCUUUUGGAAAGAAAGCCAAAGUUAAACUCUAGCAAAAUAAAAGGUCUCAUCUGUGCACAAUAUACGGAGUGGUAGAUUGUCCCAGGUGGACUAGAUCACCUUUCAGUAAACUAAUACUGCUGAGAUCCAUUAAAGCAGUGGGGGGCUGCCAAGUACUCACAUCCUAGACUCAUCAACUUGUUUUUUUGCUGACCACUUAGUCAGCAAGAGCAAUGUGAUAAGUCCUGGAUGAUAAACAUGGUUCUUUUGCAGAGACAAAAUGGGGCACAGCAGAGAAGAACAAAUAUUUCAGAUGAGAAAAAUAAAUGCUAGGAGCAAGGUCCUUUCAGAUCCAUGAGCAUCUCAUUUUCUAUAUAGGAACUUGGGCAUGGGGGCAUUUAAAAAAUGUCCCACCAGGCCCUUAGCCUCAGACACCUGCAAGUCUGCAGAACAUCUCAGGGGAAACCCUUGACUCUAUGGCAUGUUAAGGGCAUAUUUCAGUACUUGUUUAAUAGAGUAGAGACAUUUGUUGCAAUGAAAUGCAGAUCUGCUAUUCAUGUGAAUUUAUUGUGCUGCUAUAGCAUCUUUAUUAUUUCCUAUAAAAUACAAUCUGAUUUAAAAAUAACUGGUCCUGUGACACUUACAAGGUUGAAUCUGAUGGGAUGUCCAUUGCAGAUGAAUAGCCCUGUAAAUAAUUUAUGUCUUUUGUCACUUAUGUGUGGAUUCUCUUAGAUCUACAGUAAUUAGCAAUAAGUUCUGGAGUAAACUAGUGAGUGAAAGUACCAGAAAGUCAUGUAGGUUAGUGAGUUCUAUUGAUUCUUUAAAAUAAUUUUACAGUAAUGACUAUGGGAAAAAAGCCAGAGUUUUUCCAAGUCUGAUUAAUAGCUGAUUUAAUUCAUAAGCCUCAAAGCCCAAAGCAAAGAUUCAUUUGUUUUCAGUUCUGUUUAAUGUUUUUUGGAGCAUUGAAGCUUGGAUAGUUUAUUUAAAUGAGGUACAUUUAUGAUUUUUAAUAUGAUUGCCCUCCAAUUUACACAGAAAGUAAUAUAUUAUAUUCAAAGAUGCAGGAUGAGUGAGUAGUACUGGCUAUGAAACAAAAGAAGGUAACCUGGAUUCCAUACUGGGUGUCAGUUCUCUACUAACAAUGACAUAAUCAAGUCACUUAGAUUGCAAGGAAUAGAAAUCUACUCAGACUGGCUGAAACAGACUGGGAAUUUACGACCAGGUUACUGGGGGGUAGCUGAUGGAACCAAGGAAAGAAAUGUGGUCAGGCCUCACUGGAGACUAAAAUAGGGACUGGAAACUGGUCAUGAGCUGGUGUUAUUUUUGUUGUCCUUCCAGGGGUGUACAGUCCCCUGUCUCACCACUGCUUCUGUCUAUAGACUUUCUCUUCUUCAGUGAGAAUAUGUAGCCAAACAUGGUUGCCUUCGUUUUAGAUUUAUAUUAGUUACCAUUUCAAGAAAUACCAACCAACUAGCUGAAACAGUGAUUCUUAAUUCCAAAUUCCUGGAGAUAGACUCUGAUUGGCUCAGCUUCUCAGGUGGCAUAUGGACAAGAGGACAGGGUAGUUCAGCGCCAGAAGGGCACUGGGGGGAAAGUUCCAAUUUUGCCUAAGAUAUUUUUUGUUAUCCCUCUUCCCUUACCUGCCUCUCUUCUUCUGUGAGUAUUACAAUAUUCACAUUUUUAGAGCAGUUACUUCCAAAGAUGCAGAAGAGAAGAUACUGAAGAUGUUUCAGGCAGAGGAAACGGCAAGAAUGAGAAGCAGCACAGUAUGCUGAGUGAAAUGCAUCCAAUCAAUCCUAGUCUGAGGAUCAAGUGGGGAGUGGGAAUGGCAGGGAAAGGAAACUUGAGGAGCAAGUGGUUUGGAGACUCUGCUGAGAAUCUAGGACUUUAUCUUGAAGGCCAUGGGUGUAUUUGUUUGUCUGCCUUUUAUUCCCCCAGGGAGUUGGUCAUUGAAGGAUUUUAAGCAGAAACUGACAGAAUUUGUAUUUUCAGAAGCUUACUUGGGCAGAAGUUUGAAGAAUGUGUUGGAUGGAGAAGGGCAAGAAUAGAGGCAAAGACAUCAUUUGAGUGUCUCAGGUGGGAGAUAAGGGCCUGAACUAGGGCGCAAUGGUGAAAGGAAGGGACAAGUUUGAGGAAUAUUAAGGAGGUAGAGUGGGCAAGACUUGCUGAUUGAAUGGCUGUGAAGGGAGGAGAAAGGAAUCAAAGACAGUCCUAAUUUCUACCUGGGAAACUGGGAAGAUAGGGUGGGGCAUGAACUGAGUUGGAAUGUAGAAGCAGGCCUGAGUAGAAGACGAUGAAUUCAGAAUUGGACAGUUGAGUUUGAAGUAUCUGUGGAACACCUAAAUAGAUACUUCUUGCAUCUGAGUCUGAAACCUGAAGAUCAGUGGUAGUUAGAAGGUUGAGAAUAUAUGCAGUCACCCCAGGAGAGCAUGCAGAGAAGGAAUGCUCAGGCUAGGGUCCAUUAAUAGGUUCCAGAGUUUCUUUCUAAUGAAUGCUCUGAUUAAGUAUAAAAUUUUGUACAUAUGUACUGGUGAUGGGCAUCAGGAAAGGGUCCACAGCUUUUAUCAGAUUCUCAAAGGGGUCCAUGAAUCAUAAAAUGGUUAAGGAGCUUUGGUAUAGAGCAUACAUUCUGGAAGGGGGCAGUAUUUUCUCCCAAGAGGGCAAAAACUGGUUCUUAGAGGGCAAAAAAAUCUUACUCUUUUUAUGUGUAAAGUGCAGAUAUACAUACAGUACAUAAACGUACACGGUAUGUCUGGGUUAUUAAAAUUUAUAGGGGUGAUAAGAAAGAAAAUGUCUUAAAGGGCUCCUUAGGGAGGUGAUAAUGGAUGAAAGGGUGCGAAACAGUGGUAUGGACUGAGAGGAGCAGUGGGUUCUCAUCUUUUUUACUCUAAAAGCUGAGGACAAAAAGAAUCUAUUGUCUUUAUUGCUGACAGCAUUAUUGCUGUACCACCUCUUCCUCUUUUCUAUUAUUGCAUCGCCAUCACCACGACCACACACAUAUCCAGUAUAUACCUUCUGAAAAGUUAUAUUACACUGAGCUAAGUUUACUAAGCGUACAGGGAAUAAAGGAAAAACAUUGCGUUUUUCAGAAAUGGGUCUUUUUUGUUAUUUCUGCUGCAACACUCCUUCAAGAUGAUGUACAUAACAGCUGUUAUGAAUAUCUAGAGUUAGAAGCACAUUUUAAAACCAAUCUUUUACAUUAAUAGAUGUGUCUACUUACCCUGUCUGCUGACUGAGAAAGAAAGCACCAUUUGUGAUCUGGGGUUGCUAGAAGCUUCCAAGAAUUAUUCUCCCUUGGGCCUUUUCUCUACCUCUUCUUCUAUAGUUAAUAAUUUCCUCCACUGAACGUCUAUCUGUUGAGCCUUCAUUGUGCACAUGACACCAGAUCUCAAUGGUGAGUAGCUUUACAGAAUUCAAAGAGGACCUAGUACCCUCUUUGAGGAGCUUGUCUUCCCCCAAAAAAGUAAAAGCGGCGGUUCAUUUCCGAGGCGAGACACUGCUGCAGUGUAAUGCCAGAAAUCACGUUCUAAGUCCUUUCUUUUCAAGAAAACCUGAGUCACUAUAAUGUCUCAAGAGGUUGCCACUUUGCUAUGUAAUGUAUUAUGUACAUUUCUAAUCUUAAUUCUUUUAUGAGUUGCUUAUGAAAAAAGAUGGUCAAAUUAACCAGAUUUCACUAAUCUUUCCGUUCUUUUAUUUUAAUGUGAAUUAUUGGCCACCCUUGGGGCCAGAGCUGAGAGCAGCAAGUUUUGGAAGGGGAAAGCAAGAUCAGCAGUUUUCUAGCCACUGUGGUUCAAGUCAGAAAUCGUUUGUCUGCAUUAACUCUUGUUCUAAAGUGUUCACAUUUUUAAACAUCCAUGGGUGAAUGUAUUCAUAGGGUAACUUCUGCUUUGUGCACCUCAAGAAAACAGCUUGGCCCUGUGAACCUGUUGUGUUCAUCUUGAAGCCUUAUUAUUGAAAAUGGAGCUAUCAUCAGGUCUCCACAGUCAAGACAUUGAGAGCAUGCCACGUGUGCUAACCUAACCAAGGACCAAAUGCAGCAUAAUUGCAAUAGCAACAGUAUGGGAAUAUUAGAAGAAACUGAGCAUAUAUCACUGGAGGGAAAGAUCAUUCUUCUUUCCAUUCCUAGUGAAUGGUUAUAAAGCUGAAAGUUUUUUUUUUUUUCUAUUCUUUCAAAAAGGUCCAUAAGAUAGAUCACCAUUACAUUUAUCAUUCUUUUCUACUUUUUUUUUGUAGAAUCGAUCACAGUUGUGUGCUUAAAACUAUUUAGGAACAUUUUGAUGUUUAGCAACCUCCAAAUACUCAAUUUUAAUUACAUCUUCUGGUUUAAAUUCAUAAACCAAUAAUUCAGAAGCCAGGCCUGAAUGUAUACUCUUCAGUUCUGCCAUGUAAUGAAGUGUACAGCAUAUACGUGCUUUGUACGAUGUGCUUUGGGGACAGCUUUCCUUUUCAGACCCUGCUUUUUGUGUCAGCUGAUUGGCACCCGCAGUGCUGGGGAAAUGGAGUGGUUCCUUGGUGACUCCCAAUAGCUGUCAGGAUUAAUCUGUAGAUAGGAAAAGAUUUUCCUUGAAAAGAAGCUGGAGGAAACUGUCGAGCAAUGCCUGCAUAUCAUUCUAAGCAGACACUUAUUGCCAUGGUGGAGGCAAGGAAAGGGGACGCUUGUUUUGCAAAUUUAAAUUGUGAGCCUCUUCUUGACAAGUGAAAAAUCAGAUUCAGUGGGGUUUUAGAAAAUAUUUAAUUUGUAAGUUUUUUACAUUUUGGUAAAUCAAGCCUAUCCACUUAUGAAGCAGGUCCUAACUAUGAAGAACUAAAGUUGGCAUCUUUCUCAUCCUUAAGCACUAGAGAACCAGAUGCCUUACGGCAGCAGAAAUGAAAACCACAGUUCAACCUAACCUCUUCCUUUUGAGUGAGAGGUAUGCAGUUAACAUGGAGACGAAAAUCUCUUUUCUGUUGUUUCUUCUGAACCUUGUUUCUGGAAACCAACAGUUUUCUAAUUUGUAAGCAGUCUUUCCUUCCAUUUUUUUAAAAGCAUAAAUUUUUAAAAAUAAUUUAUCUGCAAGUUAUUCAUUAAGUAGGACACAAAAAUUGUACUUACGCAUUGACUUGGCCUUCAGGGAUUGGCUCAUCCGUUGUAGUAGCCUGUUACUCCUGUUAGUAUGGAUGGCAUAGUUGUAAGUGUGUCAGAUAUUUAUUACUUAUUUUUGUUCAGUUCUCGUAGCUGUGCACAUUAACCCCCAGGUCUAUGGCCUGCGACUUAUGGACAAAUGCAAGUUUAAGUUAAAAAAAGGAGGCGGGGAACUUAUGGCUCAGCAGCCAUCGCUGUCCUGGGCUGGCCAAGCAGUUAUAUAAUGUACUGAAACAUAGCCUUUGUAUUUAGCCUGGCUCAAAGCAUAGCCCUUGACUUCCUAGCUUGUGAGCUUGAGCAAAUUACUUAAACACUAUGAUUGUGCCUCAGUUUACUCAUCUCUAAAAUGGGGAUGGUGGUAGAGCCUACUUCAUAAGUCAUGAAGAUUUGACGAAUUAAAAUGGGUUAAAUGCUUAGUAUAGUGCCUGGCAUAGACCAGUGCUCAAUAAAUGUUAACUGCUUGCUUUUUUUCCUUGCCAUAAUUAUUAUAAUGUUAGUAUUGUGAGCCAUUUAACAUUAGCCUUGAUGUUAUAAGUGUUAUACUUUAGCAGUCCUAAGAACACCUUUAGAGGCUGGACUGCUCAGUCUCCCUCAAUUUCUGUUAUCAUAGGAUUUUGUUUUCCUAGCUCUUGAUUCAUUUACACAAAACUGGUACCUUACUGAAUGAUUUUGAGGAAUCUCUGGGAGAAGUCAUAGAACAGAGAGAAUUCAUAACCUCUCAAGAUCCACAGGACCUUGUCUUAUUCAUUAACCUAUUUGGCUUACUUUUUCUCCAGUCUGUGGUAUGUCAAUAUUUUUAUUUUAUCCUGUUAAGAGAGCUGGGGAAAAAAAAAAAAAGGUAAGGUUAAAGGAUUUGCACUAAGUUACCUGGGUUCGGUAGCAGAACUAGGCACAAAACCAUUUUGACUGCUAUUCGUGGAUGUGGUUUAUGACAUAAAAUCCUUCCACAGCUAAGGUAACAUGUGUGCCAUAUCACAUGAGCUGCCAAGGUCAGCCAAGGAAUAUUGCAAAGUGUUUUUAUCUUGUGGAAUGAACCACUUAAAUGUUAAAUCUAAAUAUUUUAUUAUAAAUAUUUAAAGCAAAUAACCAAUUUCCACUUAAUCAUAAAGCACAACUCUUGUUAGUCUUAAAGCAUUUGCAUGGAAAAUUACACAUCACUUUAAUAUAUUUUCUGUCUGCUUUUGUGUCCAUAUAAAAAUAACAAACCACAGAUGCAUGAUGACAUCAUCAUCACUGAACCAAAGAAGGAAGAAAAGGAAGUCAUUUUGUGAGCUGCAGAUGUAAACUGUUCCCUGUCAGUUAUAUUUGCCCAGAGUAUUCAUCAUAAGCAUAAUCAUGACAACAGAAUUAGGGAUUAUUACAUGUAGACUUUUCAGAGUUAGAGUAACUUUUUAAAAAAUAGAUGUUGAGGGCUUCCCUGGUGGCGCAGUGGUUGAGAGUCCGCCUGCCGAUACAGGGGACACGGGUUCAUGCCCCGGUCCGGGAAGAUCCCACAUGCCGCGGAGCGGCUGGGCCCGUGAGCCAUGGCCGCUGAGCCUGCGCGUCCGGAGCCUGUGCUCCGCAACGAGAGAGGCCACAGCAGUGAGAGGCCCGCAUACUGCAAAAAAAAAAAAAAAAAAAAAAAAAUGUUGAUGAAUCUUAUAGAGGUAAGCAGUAUACGCUUUCUCAUAGAAAUAAGCAGGAUAGUUUUGAUUUUUUUAAAAUUUUACUUUUAUCUUCUCUUAAAUCAUUCAGUUCUGUCAUUUCCAGGCCACUCUCUCCUAUUGCUGACACUCCCAUGAGUGAAAGCUGGACUUCAAUAUCAUCAUCUUUCUACAGAGGAAUGUUUAUCUCUCCUCUGUGAUGAUAUUUGCGCAACUAUGUCAUCAUACUGUCGUUAUUUAAUUCUGUUGUAUUUAUAAGCAAUUCUCCAACCUGCUGACGGUUGUCACUUAGAAACCUUACUAGUGUUUUUCCUUUCUUCUGCUAUACUCAUCAAAUCCUGCCACCUCAUUUGUGCAGCUGUGCACUGUCCCACCAGCAUUUGGCUACCUUAUAAAGGGAAGUUAAAAAAAAAAUACUGUUUAAUUGAGGUUUAUAUAUACCAAAACAUAAGCAUCUAGUUUCAUACGCUGUAUAACACCCCUGGAAUAUCCUUUGUCCUUUGCUCUUUAGGAGUAACUAUACUCCUCUAAGAAGUAAUUUCACAUAAAUAUUAUUUGCUUUGAUGAACUUUAACAGUCUUUUAAGAUUCUUGUAUUCUUAAGUGCAGUUCUUAUAAUUAUUACCUUUUGUUUAUCCACAUUGAUUCAUUCAUUUAGCAGGCAUUUGAGGAUACUCACUGCAUUCUCCUGGGCACUGUACUGGGUGCUUUGAAAAGGAAAAUGAACAAGAAAAGGUCUCUGUUUUCAGGAAGAUCAGAAUUCAGUAGGGGAGGCCGAAAAGCAAACACUUUAACUAUCAUACAAUGUGAGACAUGCUAUAAUAGAAGUUAUGUGAGCACUGAUGAGGGAGAAAUUACUGCUUCUUGGGAGAAGUCAGUACUCAUGGGAGACUACAUAAAGCAUGUAUCCUUUGAGCUGGGCUUUAUAGGAAAAGUAAGGGAGUAAGGGGAGAAAGUUAUUCCCAGGAGCAGAAACCACACUAGGAGGGCACAGACACCAGAAGUACAUUGAGGAAUGGCCCAUGAGUCAAACAUAGGGCAGAUGAUAGAAGUAGCUAGUGAUGGAGCCAGAAAAAUGAGUGCAGACACACUGAAGAAGUGGAGCAGCAGUCCAGUAAUCCAGAGCAGCGUUAACCCCAAAGUAAUUAAUCUUUGCUCUUGAAGUAUGUGUUUUUAUUUAUGCAUGACUAUAGGUGUUUAUUAUGAUUUAGACUAUCUAAUUCCCACCCUUAGCUAUACGUUAGAAUCUCUGCCUCAUUCUAAUUAAAUUAGAAUCUCUAAGGGUGGCAUCCAUAUAUUUUUUAAGCUCCCCAGGUGAUUCUGAUGGGCAGCCAGGAUUGAGAGCCAUGAAUUUAGACCCCCUCAACAUUUGAACAGGUAACAAGAAGACCUUGUCUCAUUAAAACUGGUAAAGGGAUACCCUUAAGUCAGAACCCAUUCCACCCAUAGGUUGAUAGGAAGCAGCAACCUCUACCUCUCUACUCAGAGCUCUUUCCCCUACAGCCUGUCUUUAAAUGUGCUCAAAUAACUUCCACUUACUAAUGAAUAAAACGGAUCCUUCUCUUGACUCUACAGUCUCCCUCUAGCCAUCAUCCUGUUGUUCUUCUCUUCAUAGCUAAGCCCUGUGCUUCCAUUUUUAUUUGUGCUCCAGCCAAGUGCAGUCAAGACUCAGUCCACUGCCCUGCCCACAAUUCUCCCAGGCUUCCUGGGUGUUGCAUUCCUACACUUUGCACAUGCUACUCUUCUCCCUUGAUUUUUCUUCUACGCACAUUUUUCCCUGGCAUCACCCACUCAUGUUUCAGUACUCAGCAAUCACAUCUGGGAAGCCUUCUCAAAUCUUCCCAGUCUGGAUUGGAUGCCAUUCCUUUGUGCUACUAUGCUAUUUUCUGUAGUAUUUGUAAAAUAAUAUUUAUUAAUAUAUAUUGUAAUUAUCGAUCUGCAUUAAAACAGUGGGCCUUUUAAGAAUUAACUGAUUCAUAUUUAUUUCCAUAUCUAGUGCCUAACAGUAUUCAGGAUAUAGUAGUUCCUCAAUAAAAACAUUGCUAAAUUAAUGAUGUCAAAUAUAGUCAUUUAAUAUUUUUGUGUACCUACUAUUCACUAGCUACCAAUUACUGAGCCCUUAGAAUGUGCCUGGUCAAGUACUGACCAACCACUUAAUACAUGUAUCAUUUAAGCCCCCCAAAGUUAGGUACUGUUACUUUCCCUUUUAUGGAUAAGGAAACCGAGGCUUUGAGAAGUUGUUUCAAAACUGAAUUGCUCUUUCCGGUGUCUUUCUUAAAUUGGUACUUCACACUUAAUGUGAACUGAGGGACUUCUUUAAUGUAGGCUGUAAAUUUUCUAAAGCAUAAUAUAUAAUCAUCCAAUUAUAUUUAUUUUGUAAAUUGGCAGUAUUACCAGUUGUCUCUGGUGUUUGACAAAGGACUUUUUUUUUAAAGAUGGGAUCCUGUGUGGCUUAACUAGUAAUUUUAUUUUCUUUUUGUCUAACAUUUAUACUUUUGCUAGCCCUUCAGUGAAAAUAGAGGAGCAACAAUUCGUUCUGUUUGGGAAUUAAGAGAGACCAAAUGAUUAAAAUCAACAGACCGAGCCACAGCCUCCAAUUCCCCAUCCUCUCUCCCCACCAAAGAACCUCUGGAGCCAAUAGUUUGAAUGCCCUCCCUCAUAAAUAGAAAAAUCGGCUAGUUCAACUUUCCCCCUCCUUUCCUUUUUCCUCCUCCCUGCUAAUGAGCAGUGAAAUGGCCUAAUGACUGGGACCAGAGGGAGGGGAGAGCAGAGAAGAAAGCCUGAGUAAUCCAUACACUGAAUUAUCAGCUCUGUGUAAGUGAGUUUUCUUUGACUUCCUUCUUUUUGGAGUUCAGCAUUUUCAAGUUACUGAGGGAUGCACUGUUUCUCCAGGCACUGAGAUGAGCCGUGUUUUCAGUUUCUGCCAUGAUGGUUUUGGUCCACCUGUGUGGGCUAGAAGGCUUGUGCUUCUGAUGGGACUCCAGAAAGGAAGCUGGGAGGACUCUGAAUGACACGGUUCCCUUUUCCACUGAGAGUCAAACACAGAAUGGCCUUUUCCUGCCCUUGUCUGUUUGACUGUGCGUGAUAGAGACUGGAGAGCAUUUGUGUGGCAGGAGCGGCCCUGGAAGAUAAGGAAGGUGCUGAGCAGAAUGUGAAUGCAGCCCAGCUUCACAUGAGCCCCAGAAGGGGAAAUAGCUGUUGGUGGUGAAGGGUGAACAUCUAUCCUGGUUUGCCUGAGACUGAGUGGCUUCCUGGGCUGUGAGACUUUCGGUACUAAAACCAACACGGUCCUGGGCCAACAUAGAUGGUUGGUCAUCCUGUGUGCCUAACUUAACUUUCCUUAGCUUAACAAAAAGUUCACAAUCAGUUGGAAAUUACUUCCUAUUAUCUUUAAAUCCUGACUCACUGAAUGAAAACAAACCAAAAACUUGAGAAUUUUCUUGGACUCCCUGGAGUAAGCAAUAAAAUUGAAUGGACCUUU
Molecule: long non-coding RNA, 10638 nt
Organism: Orcinus orca (killer whale)
Lineage: Eukaryota; Metazoa; Chordata; Mammalia; Artiodactyla; Delphinidae
Exons: 3
Source: RefSeq, a predicted model, not a curated record